RNAcentral lists this ribosomal RNA (401 nucleotides) under uncultured bacterium. RNAcentral's name for it is "bacterial SSU rRNA". It matches the Rfam family "Bacterial small subunit ribosomal RNA", at positions 975 to 1375 of the family's 1533-position model. The record is from RNAcentral.
CAGCCCUUGACAUGUCCAGGACCGGCACCAGAGAUGGAGCCUUCUCUUCGGAGCCUGGAGCACAGGUGCUGCAUGGCUGUCGUCAGCUCGUGUCGUGAGAUGUUGGGUUAAGUCCCGCAACGAGCGCAACCCCCGUCUUUAGUUGCUACCAUUUAGUUGAGCACUCUAAAGAGACUGCCGGUGAUAAGCCGCGAGGAAGGUGGGGAUGACGUCAAGUCCUCAUGGCCCUUACGGGCUGGGCUACACACGUGCUACAAUGGCGGUGACAAUGGGAUGCAAAAGGGCGACCUCUCGCAAAUCUCAAAAAGCCGUCUCAGUUCGGAUUGGACUCUGCAACUCGAGUCCAUGAAGUUGGAAUCGCUAGUAAUCGUGGAUCAGCAUGCCACGGUGAAUACGUUCCC